RNA transcript from Sceloporus undulatus (fence lizard), 5887 nucleotides. It is a transcript of the gene named acyl-CoA synthetase family member 3, with no coding region annotated. The transcript is spliced from 11 exons. The record is from RefSeq and is a predicted model, not a curated record. Lineage: Eukaryota; Metazoa; Chordata; Lepidosauria; Squamata; Phrynosomatidae.
GGAUCCCCCUCCGCAAGUUUUUACAAACGCUCAGUGUGUCGUGUCUGGUUUUUGAAGCCCUGCCAGACUUCCACAGGAUAAACUAAGAGGGUGGUUAUUACUAACAUUGUACAAAUGGAAGAGUUAACAGCCUCUCGAACUGAGCGUGCAGCCCAUCUAGUUGAGAAGCUGUGGUUCCAAGGCAAUAACAGCUCAUCCAUUAUUUCAGCCUUGCACUUAAUUUCCUUCUGUGCAUGCCAAUGCUCUCUUCCACAGCAGAUUCCUGGAAAUGUCCAAAGGAUCGUCAGCAAAAUGGUCAGGUUCUAUAAAGGGGGUUCCUUGAUCCGAUUGCUUGCUCGCAGCUCUUCUUUUCCAGGAUGGAACUGCCUUGGCCUCAGGACUACCCUCUGUAUCUUCAAACGCCUCUAUUCCAGCAAGACAUCCAGCCAUGGGCAGGUUUCCCCCGUCUUCAACAGGGCACCAGCUUUUGGAGAAAAAAUAGCCAUCAUUGACCAAAAUGGGGAGCACAGCUACCAGGACUUGUACGCUCGAAGCCUCCAGCUCUCCCAGAAAAUAUGUAAGACUCUGGGCAACUUGAGCAGAGACCUGAAGGGAGAACGGAUUGCAUUUUUGUGCCCCAACGAUGUCUCCUAUGUAACGGCCCAAUGGGCUUCGUGGAUGAGCGGAGGCAUCGCUGUUCCUCUCUACAGAAAACAUCCCGCGUCAGAACUAGAGUAUUUCAUUCAGGAUUCUCAGAGUGCUCUCCUUGUUGUAGAGGAAGGGUACUUGGAAAAGAUCGCACCUAGUGCGGAGAAACUUGGCGUACCUGUGCUCUCCCUUCUCAAGUCUGGGAAGACAGACGUGACAAUAGACGGAUCCCUUUUAGAAACCGGUUGUCCCAUUUCGGAUUGGAAGGACAGGUGUGCCAUGAUCAUCUACACAAGUGGCACAACCGGAAGACCCAAAGGUGUCCUCAGCACCCACCAGAAUCUCCAAGCUGUGAUCACCGGGCUGGUUGACAAAUGGGAAUGGACCAAGGACGACGUGAUCCUCCAUGUGCUGCCUUUGCACCACGUCCAUGGUGUGGUCAAUAAGCUCCUGUGUCCUCUCUGGGUGGGAGCCACAUGCAUCAUGCUUCCUGAGUUCAGUGCACAAACAGUUUGGGAGACAUUCCUGAACCCCCAGACACACCGGGUCAAUGUCUUCAUGGCAGUGCCUACCAUCUAUGCCAAACUGGCCGAGUAUUACAACCAGCACUACUCGCAGCCUCAUGUCCAGGAUUUCAUCCAUGCUGUAUGUCAGAAUAACAUCCGGGUGAUGGUGUCAGGGUCUGCAGCCCUCCCUGUGCCUGUCCUUGAGAGGUGGAGGAGUAUUACUGGGCACACACUGCUGGAGAGAUAUGGCAUGACAGAGAUCGGCAUGGCCCUUUCCAACCCAUUGCAUGGCCCUCGGGUCCCAGGUUCUGUGGGGAUGCCACUGCCUGGAGUAAAAGUCCGCAUUGCCACAGAAAGUUUGCAAAGGGAUGGUCCAGCUUACACCGUCCAUGCUGAAGGGGACGAGAAUGGCACAAAGGUGACCCCAGGUUUGGAUGAGAAAGAAGGGGAGCUCUUUGUGAAAGGACCCACAGUGUUUCGGGAAUACUGGAACAAACCUAAGGAGACCAGGGAUGCUUUUACUCUGGACGGCUGGUUCAAAACAGGUGACACAGCUGUGUAUAAAGAUGGCACCUACUGGAUCAGGGGGCGGACGUCCGUUGACAUCAUUAAAAGCGGAGGCUACAAAAUCAGCGCCCUGGAGGUUGAGCGCCAUUUGUUGGCCCACCAGAGUAUUGCUGAUGUCGCUGUGAUUGGUGCACCAGACAGGAUGUGGGGCCAGAAAGUCAGUGCUGUGGUCAAACUCCACCAAGGCCAUACUUUGUCUCUCAAGGAAUUGAAGGAGUGGGCAAGGGAGUCCAUGGCACCCUAUACCAUCCCAUCUGAGCUGCUGCUGGUGGAGGAGAUCCCACGCAACCAAAUGGGCAAAGUGGACAAGAAGUACCUUCUCAAGCAGUUCUACUCCUCCUCCUAAGGAAGACGAUGCCAGAGGGAGCCGAGCAGAAAAGGAAAGCUUUGGCAGGCACCUGCACCCUUGGCCGGGAAGUGGCUAAACAACUGUGCUGAGGUUUAUCCAAAAGGGUGAUUGGAUGCCACUCUCCUUUCCAACACUCUGAUCACUUCCUUGUGCACACACACACACACACACACACACACACACACACACACACACUUUGUCUUAUGAUCAUGUCUAAGACGGGGCCAGAUCUGUGAUUUUUUUUCAUAACCAUACGUCAAUAUUUUAUAAACUCUGGCUUGCUUCUAUCUGGCCUCUUUAAUAGUUGGUGACAGGUCUUUUUCUGCAGCUGAUUUAAGUACAGCUUGAAGCUAUAAGUCGCCAGUGGGGGAAGAUAAGGUCUUUACAUCCAGACUUAGGGCAACCCUGUGGCUUUUGGGAAAGGAGCUUCAGCCCUCCCCAAACAUGACACCACUCUGCACUCCCUAAAGAUCUUGUCCUGUUUGCAACUUCUGGAAUCCCAUUGGUGACCUACGCAGGUAUAAUAUCAAACUACACCUGCAUGUGCCUUUUAUUGGUUGUUGCAGAAAGAAGUAUUCAGUAUCUUUGUCUGGAAUAUCCCCUUAGUUCUUAUUUUAGCAGUUUGAUGGCCAUUCAGUGGUUAAGGGAAGAUGGAGGUCAGCCGGGCAGUGCCCAUAGGAAGAAAGGAAGAGACCCCAAGAGAUAUCCAGUCCAAUCUUGCAAUGUAGGAAGACACAAUCAAAGCACUUCCAACAGAUGGCUAUCCAGCCUCUGUAAAACAUCCAAAGAGGGAGAUUUCACCACCCUUCGAGACAGCAAAUUCCUCUGUCAAACAGCUCUCAUUUUCAGGAAGGUCUUCCUAACGUUUAGGUGGAAUCUCUUUUCUUGUAGUUUGAACCUGCCAGCAGUCCUCUGGGAGGAUAUCUCUUAGAUUUGGCGUAGUUUCCCAGGGCAUUGGACCCUUUUUUGAGAAGGACUAUUCAAUUAAGAGGCAGUCUUCAUUAGCCGUGAAAAGGUCUGAAUCGCUUGUUCAGUCUAAGAUGGACUGCAGUAAAUGCAAAGCAAACAGGCAGCAUUCAAGGAUAUAUAUUUGAAAAGCUUGCUGAUGAAUUUAAGCAUACAUUCUGAACAUAUCUUCAGGUUGCCUCAAUCACCUAUAGGCUACCAGUUUAGAGAACUCAGCAAAGCUAGGGCUUAUCUUCUCAGAAGAAGGAAGAAAAAGAGAGAAAGGAAGAAGGGGAGGAAUCUGUAGCCUGAUUUCCUACGGGUUUGUGUUAAUUAGAACAGUCCCAUUGACUCAUUUGUAUUUGGGACAAGCAAUAGGAUUUAGGUAUGUAUAACCUCAGAUACCUGGGAGUUUCCAAAUUCACAUGGCUUGUGUGUCAAAUACAUUAAUCACCUAUAGGCUAUAGAUUUGCAAACGGGGAAAGCUUGAGAGGCUGUCAAAUAGAACAGAGGUAUACUGUACAUGAAACCUGGGUUUGAAUCCCCACUUAGCCAUGGAAACCCACACAAAUCACACACUUUCAGCCUCAGAGGAAGGCAAUGGCAAACCCUCUUUGAACAAACCUUGUCAAGAAAACCCUGCGAUAUCAUAAGUCGGAAACAACUUGAAUGCAUGCAACAGCUUCUCAUAUGCUCUCACAGCUGAAAGGCGAAUUGCUUAAAGCAUAACCUGAACUCUUAGUGCUCAGCAGAUUUGGUUUUCUUUAGUGUUACAACACACGCUUUCUUUAAAAAAAAAACAAAUCUUGGAAGCUUAUUGGUUCUUUUGUUCCCUUUCCCUUUUAAACUGACUUCUCGGCUUGUAUUCAUUUGUAUAAUUGGAUAUCUCAGCCAGAGGAAAGGACAAGGCGCGACAAAAGUUCGCGCUCUCUUAAGUGGGGCUGCACGACCCUCAUGGGAUUUGGAGGGAGGGUGGAGGAAUCACAGCCAUCGUCUCUGCUGUGGAAUGAGCCUCUCUGGAGACUUCGCCCGUCUGAUCAAUGUGCUUUAAAAUGCUUUUACAGAAUUCCCAUUCUUCUGCCGAAGACAGGCCCAGGGGAGACGCUUCCAUUUGGUGCUCUUUUUCUGCCUUCACGUCUCAUCCGUCCUGGCCCUGCUUCACCUUCAGCCUGCAUGAGUCCCAGGGAAUACAUUUCUGGAAAACCUGAAGCUGAGACACCUGCCUCUGUUGGUGGACUUGCAAUCCUGUUGCCAAGCCAGAUUCCACCAGCCAUUGGCACACACUGAUGCUCCAUUGUGGAAAGUGGGAGGGAUGGACAGGCACCUGCCAAUGCAUCAUUGCACACUACUACAUGUCCCAUGGGGCCGCUCCCGGAGGAAUGGGGUGCCAGGAAGGAGCCCUCCCUUUGAGAGGGGAGGGAAGGGAUGGCGCCGUCUCCUUUGUUAAAGCCUCAGCGACGCAGUAAAUAUUUUUCACUUACCAUAUAGAUCAAUAUCAAAUUAUCAUGUCUCACAUUCAUAACUCUUAAGCAAGCAACAAUGGGGAGAGACAAGGUCACUGGAGAAUAAAUAGCAGCCCGGGCGCUCCAUGAUCUAUCAUUCCCGACAAGCCCCCGGCACCUUGCACCGGGACCACUGACAAGAUCAUUAAUAAAACUCUGCCGUUGCCCGAUCGAUGGGUUUGAUGGAUGAGCACAGGUAGCAAAUACAGUAAAACAGCUGCCUGUCAUGCUUGAGUGAGGGAUGCGAGCUCUGCCAGAGGGGUGGGAGCCAGGGGCCGUGUGCCAUUUUCCUUUGGGGGUUCCUGGUUUGUUUAAAGGGGGGCUUUAAAAGCCACUCAGAGUUUGCCAAUGAAUGUUUGAACUCAGCACCUCUCUGUCUGGGUGGGACAAUGUUACUGGUGCCAAAAGAAAGGGCAUUUGGGGGGACUCCACAUUUUACAUUUCCCCAGUGGGGUGUGAGAUGCUGGAUGCUAGGAACAGGGAGCCUCAGGUCCCAAUCUGGUCCCCUGGACUUCACUCAGAUGGCCAUGUCUUCUUCCCUAUCAUUUGGUGGUUUCUCACAUUUGUAUGUGUUUAUUCCAAUUCUAAAUGAUUUUAGCUAUGUCCCUGGUGGUAAGAGCUUCAGAGUAAGACAAGAUAGUAUUUUUCACCCCACCUGCUUUGCCUUAGGACCCACUCACUCUCCCAAACCCAGCCUGGGCAGUCACAAAGGCGGAUUGCUACACAGCUGAUAGCAGACUCCAGCUAAGGAGCAAGAACAAGAACAGAGCAGCCUACACUUCGGCAUUUACUUUACUUAGUAAACACAAGCCUUCGGUCCCAAACAGAGUCAGUAUACAAGCUUCAGGUCUGGCAAAGAGUGCAACAACAUCCAAGCCAGAGUCAACAAACACAGUCCCUCCAGGUAGGUCAAAUAAUUUCUGAUGGUAACACCUGGAUGGUAGGGCUGGGGUUUAUAGACCAGCAGCUCAAUGCAGCUGCUGCUGAAUUAAUGGAUGCUUCCCAUAAAUCCUCUGAGAUCCCAAGGUGUUGGUUGUCUCCGCUCGGGAAGAUAGGCAGGGGAUAAGUGGUCUUCUCUACUUAAUGGGCAGCAGGACUCUCUGACAUUGCUGCUCUUGCCCUGUGGUCUGUCUCUGAGACGCAUGGCCCUGGAAUGUCCUCUGGUCCAGCAGCAGGUCCAUUAGGCUUCAGUCUAUGCUCUGGAAGCAGGGCCUGACACACACCAUCAGAAUGCAGCCCAGAAAUACCAUGCUUUGUAACUGGCAAGGGUCUGAUAUUUCAGGACGGAGGAAUUGCUAUAUCCGCUCCCGUCCCACUAUGCAUACUGGAAAGAUUUUAACCUAGUGCCAGAAAGAAUAAAAUGUUGGUGUCAGGCAUAUUUCCUUCCAAAG